GGGGUGAGGCCAGUUUGGACUCAUGUGUUGGAUCAGUCAGGGAGCAGCUCAUUCACUCGCUCAUGACUGAUUGUUUAUCCCACACCAGCUCUGACUAACAGCUGAGAGUUGGAAAACCACUCUAUCACUUAGCCAUGUCAGCAGAGAGAACUCUGGUGUUCGGGUCAGUGUGGAGUCCUCAGACAAAAACAUAAGAACUGGUAAAAUCAGCUGUUCACAGAUCCGCCUCUGCUGCCUUUAAAAAAACACCUUCAGAGCUAUUUUUCUGCCUUUUAAAGUGUCUUAUUCUUGUUUACCUAAAUGCAGGUGAACAAUCAUGCUCUUAUUCAGGGGCGGAAAUAUAAACAUGAAUCAAAAACACAGAUUAACACUUUCAAAACAAACAAAAAUAUAAUUACACUCAUGAGAUUAAGCAUUAAUCCAUUAUUUUUUCACAGGGUAAUUUCAGACUGAGACAUCUGAGAAAAAUAAAUGAAACAAAAUACACUAAAUGACAUUUUAUAACUUUUUAUCAGGUGGAAGUUAGUCUAAUUUCAGUGGAUUAAAAAAAAUUAGAUUAGAUUAGAUUAGAUUAGAUUAGAUUAGAUUAGACAAGACUAGACUAGUUAAGAUUAGAUUAAAUAACAUUAGAUUUAUCAUAUAAAAUUAUUUUAGAUUAGAUUAGAUUAGAUUAGACUGGAAAAUAAUAGAUAAGACUAGGUUAGAUAAAGUUAAAUUAGAUUAGACUAGGUUGGAUUAGAUUUCACUAGAUUAGAUCAGAUUAGAUUAAAUUUAAUUAGAUUAGAUUAUUUUAAACUAGGUUAGAUUAGAUUACAUCAGAUUAGAUUAGAUUGAUCAAAUAAGAUAACUUUACAUCAGAUACAUUAUAUUAGGUUAGAUUAGAUUAGACUAGGUUAGAUUAGAUUCGAAUAGAUUAGAUGCGAUUACACUAGAUUACAUCAGAUUUGAUUAGACUAGUUUAAAUGAGGUGAGAUUAGAUUAGAUUAGGCUAGGUUAGAUUAGAUUGACUGGAUAAAAUUAGAUUACACUAGAUUACAUCAUAUUAGAUUGGAUUGAUCAGAUAAGAUUAGUUUACAUUAGAAGAAGAAAAACUUUAUUGAUCUCCGAAGGGAAAUUCAAUUGUCUGUUGUCUCAUGUAAUGUCUAUGAAAGUUAUCUAUUAUUUACACAAGAGUAAUAAAACCUGAUGGCUGUUGGUACAAAAGAUCUUCUAAAUCUUUCUGUCAUGCAGCGAAGAGAGAGGAGCCGUCCACCACUAUUUGCCCUUUGGUCCAUCAAAGUGUUGUGAAGUGGGUGAUCCAUGUUCUUGAGAAUAGUCUCCACCAUCCUCAGUGUAGCUCUCUUCACCACAUCCUCCACUGAGUCCAGCUUUCAUCCAACCACAGAGCCAGCCUUUUUCACCAGUUUGUUAAGACGUCUUGCAUCUUUGUGUUUGAUGCUUCCUCCCCAGCAGACUGCAGUGUAGAACAGAACACUUGCCACCACAGACUGAUAAAACAUCUGCAGCGUCUUACUACAGAUGUCUUUUGAUCGGAGUCUUCUCAGGCAAAAGAGGCAGCUCUGCCCCUUUCUGUAGAUGGAGUCUAUAUUCUUACACCAGUCCAACUUAAUAUCCAGACGUACACUCAGGUAUUUAUAUGAUGUCACCACUUUGAUGUCCACUCCACAGGUGUUCACUGGCUGAAGAGGGGGUUUGGAUCUACGGAAGUCUACGUAUGACCAUCUCCUUUGUCUUUGAGGUGUUGAGGAGGAGGCAGUUUUUGAGACUCCAGUCACUGAAGGCUCUUAUUAAAUUUCUGUAUUCAGCUUCUUGUCCAUUUCUGAUACAUGCCACAAUAGCGAUGUCAUCUGAGUAUUUCUGGAUGUCGCAGGACUCAGUACUGUAUUUGAAGUUUUUUUUUUUAGCUACAUUAGAUUAGAUUAGAUUAGAUUAGAUUAGAUUAGAUUAGAUUAGAUCCGAUUAGAGUAGAUUCAAGUAGAUGAGAUGAGAUUAGAUUAGAUUAGAUUAGAUUAGACUCCAUUAGAUGAGAUUACACUUGAUUAGAUUGGAUUAGAUUAGACUAGGUGAGAAUAGAUUCAACUGGAAUAGAUGAGAUUACACUAGAUUAGAUGAGAUUACAUCAAUUUAGAUUAGAUUAGACUAGGUUAGAUCAGGUUAGAUUAGAUUCAACUGGAUUAGAUUAGAUAACUCUGGAUUAGAUUAGAUUAAAUUGAAUUACACUAGAUUACAUCAUAUUAUAUUGGAUUGAUUAGAUAAGAUUAGUUUACAUUAGAUACAUUAGAUAAGGUUAGAUUAGAUUAGAUUAGGGGCUCUAUUUCCGUGCCUCGCCGGAGACGUGCCGCAAGCGCAGCGUCAGUCAGAUCCGCUGCGCUGACAAGGCGUUCCCAAGCACAUUUUGGUAUUUUGGUGAGCCGCGCAGCCCGGCGUAAGUAUCCCCCCUCCCUAACUCAGCUCCUCCCAGCAGCAUAAGUCGUAGACGGGGAGGAGAGAGGGCGUGGAGUGGGUUUAACACAGCCGAGACCUGUUUUCUUCAAUCACAUAAGCUCCUCUCCUUGCCUUUAAAUCCGAGGCGAGGCGUAUUACUAUUUUCAUGAAGUAGUCAAAGAGAUCAAGAGAUGUCUUAAGACAGUAAUGCCACAAGAUGGCGACAGAGGGCAGCUCCUCAACAAGUGUCCUCCACACUCUCUCAUAUGAGCACAGAUGGAUUUGGUGUGUGUAAUGUUGGACCCAGUGGUAAGACCAACACCCUUUUCCACAAAUAAAGACACUCACAUAAAGUUGCUCAUAUUCAAACCUCACGUGACAAAGGUGGGUUGAGCGCACAGAUCACAACAUAAACUCCAAAAAUGGCAUUAAAAUCGGAACCAUCUGUGCGUAAAUGACGCAUCCCGCUCCGUGGCCUGGCUCUUUCUUUCAUAGAUGAUGGCAUAUAAAAUAAAUUUGGCCCACAAAACUGAAUAUUAUAAUAUCCGUAUGUCGGCUUAAAGUAGAUAACGCAUCUGAGCACUGAAACAAAUGAUCUGUUCAGCCGCAGCAGCAGCAAGACGGACAGAGGACACCGAGACCUGUCCAGGUCGAACUGUGCGAGAAAUAAGAGGAAGAGGAAGAAAGAAAAGGAGGGAGACGAAUUACAUAUCUUUAUCAUAUCAUAUCUAUUUACUAGAUAUUUAAUUUAAUUUGAUGCGGUUUCAGCUGUGUUGAUUCGGUCAGGUUGUGUGUCCAAACGCGUGCCAAACGCGCUCAUCAGAUCACAUAUAGAUCAGAAUAUAUCUAUAUAGAUCUAAAUGUAUGUGCUGACUCAGAUUAAUAGUUGAUGAUGAUUAUUUAUUGCACUGAAAUGUGCCUGAUACUGUCGAAACCUGCCGGUGAGGCAUCAGUGACGUAUGUCGAUACGCCGCCGGUCUACCAAAAUACUACUAAACCAGCUGCGCUCCGCCAUGCGCUGAAAGCUGACCAGGUUUGAAUCGGCGACUUUACUCGCCGGUGGCGAGCACGAAAAUGUCACUGCGCCUGCUGAUUCUGUCGACACCUCCCCCUGCCACGCCACCACGCCCAGCUUGGCGGAUCUCGGCUCGCCUCCGUGCGGCUCAGGCCACGAAAAUACCAAACUGGCCUUACGCUGGGCUCCGCCAGACGAAAAAACAACUGCGCGGGGCUCGCCGCCCUCCGCCGCCUCACCGGCGCGCACGAAAAUAGAGCCCUAGAUCUGACUAGAGUAGAUUAUAUUAUAUUAGAUUAAAAUAAAUUAAAUGUGAUUGGAGUAGAUUGGAGUAUAUUAGAUUAGAUUAGAUUAGAUUAAAAUAAAUUAAAUUUGAUUAGAGUAGAUUGGAGUAGAUUAGAUGAGAUUAGGUUAGAUUAGAUUAGAUUAGUUUGGAUUAGAUUAGAUUAGAUUAGAUUAGAUAUAAUUGUAUUUCUCUUUUUGGGAGUUCCUUCCUGUUUUCAUGUUUCAUAUACUGACAGGACAUCUCACACUUUUUGUUCAUCUAAUGGAACAAAACUUCAGAAUUCACUUUUUUUUAAAACACUUGAUUCACUGAAAAACAUCCUUUAAGUUUGUUAUCAGACGCAGUAACCAUGGUAACAGAACUGCUCUGUAGUUUGGCCUCAGCAUUGAAUAAAUUUAAGUUUAGCGACUAACUCUGAGUCUGGGAUUAAACCUAUAGAUUAAACCAGGUUAGGUCCAGGUUUGAGGUUCUAGCCUGGGUUUAGAUCUAGUUCAUGUGUGUCUGGGUUAAGGAUCUGACUUUAAUAUUGUCCAUGCUGGGUUCUGACCUGGUUUUAGUCCAGGUUGGGGUCCAGUCCUCAGAAGUUCAGUUUGUGUUUUAGGGGUUUAGCAGCUCAGUCCUCAGGUCAGAGUCUGAUCAGAGGCUGUAAAUCCAGCAGCUUCCCUCUGUUUCCUCUCCACACACCUCUCCUCCUCCUCCUCUUCUUCUUCCUCUUCUUCACCUCCGUGUUUAUCUUCAGCCUGCAGAUUUGUCCCCCCCCCCCCACUCCUCUCCCUCAGGAUUUACUUCUUCCCUCAUUUCGUCAGAAGAAAACGUCUCCUCUCUCUCUCCAUGGUAACGUCGGCUGUUUUCAUCAUAGGGUGAAUUUCAUUUCUGUGUGUGUGUGUGUUUACUGGAGUGUGUGUUAAAAAGCUAUUAGUGUAAGAGCAGAGUGUUGUGUGUGAAAUAUGUGUGUGUGUGUGUUGUUGGGUCGAUGCUCUUUUGAAGCUCCAGUUCCUUCAUCUACUGAGAGAACAAGGGAUGAGAAAGAAGUGAGGAGAACAGAGGAGAAGGAGAGCGCAGAUUAAAAGUGUAGAAACAAAAAAAUAAAGACUUUAAAGCUGGAGAUAAGAAAAGAAAGAAAUAACAAGAGGAGGAGACAGUUUAGGAAACAAGUCCGAAGGAGACGAGGGAGGAAAAGGAAACAAGAGGGGCAGGAUAAAUUAGACAAGGAGGAAGGAGACAUGAGAAGGGAAGGAGGCAAACUAAGAGCAUAAGAGGAACAGAAGGAAGGAAGGAAAACAGGAGACACACUACAGAGGAGGAGUAAAACUUUAUAAAGUUUGAGGAAGAACGGAAAGAAAGGAAGAAGAAGAGGAAACAAGAAAGGGUAAAAUCAUGAGAACAAGAGGACGAAAAAGAGAGUAAAAAAGGUAACAAGAAAGGAAAGACUAGACUGAAAACAUAGAGAACCAGUCCUCCAUCAUGACCUAAGCUCUAAAGGGUGGAGACUAUUUACAAAGAAACUGACCCCGGAUUUCCACCGCAUCCAGAACAGCUUCGACCCAGAAUGGAGGUGACCAUCUAUUCCUACUGGAUCCGUUGUGAGGCGAAUUUUGUGGCGGAUUACGGACAGCGGGUAUCGCAAGAACUCACUAGAACCCACGGAUUCACGUGCAAUGGUGUGAUAACAAGUUGUCCCAAUAAAGACAGACACAUAGACAUAUAAGCAGUAGAUUGUGUCCUUCCAGAGGAGGAAAUCUACUUCUAGACUUCUAGAAUCAGCAUCUCCUCAUCCAUGGUGUCAUCGGGGUGAAAUGACGUCUAAAAGCCUUUCACUUGUUCGUCCCUGCCUGUUUGCAUGGUGUGAAAUAUGAUCCUCCAGUAACACGGAGUGUUUUAUUGUGAAAAGAAGCCGGAUGUUUUAUUUUGUGUCUGUGCCUGACUUCCUUUCCAGCACGGGUUAAUCUUGAUCGUUGAGCCUUUCCUGUGGCGAUGCCACAGUUUUUUCCAGGUAUGAAAGAUGCUACUCUCUCUCGACAUAAGUGUCCUCCACAGCUAAAAUGCGUUGUUCGGCUUCGUCGACAUGCCUGGACAUAUCUUGCACCUUUUUUUACUAUAUCUCCGAAGAAAGGAGUUGAACUUAGCUUCCAUUAACCCUGAGAUAUUCUCUGUGUUUGUGGUCAUGGCUUUGGCCAAAGCGUGACUUAGCAGCUCCAUCUCCAGCACUUCCGCCUCAUUGUCUUGUGCU
RNAcentral lists this long non-coding RNA (5955 nucleotides) under Xyrichtys novacula (pearly razorfish). Lineage: Eukaryota; Metazoa; Chordata; Actinopteri; Labriformes; Labridae. The record is from RNAcentral.